Molecule: ribosomal RNA, 587 nt
Filed under: Oxalobacteraceae bacterium
Lineage: Bacteria; Pseudomonadati; Pseudomonadota; Betaproteobacteria; Burkholderiales; Oxalobacteraceae
Description: bacterial SSU rRNA
Rfam family: Bacterial small subunit ribosomal RNA
Source: RNAcentral
AUGUCUACUAGUUGUCGGGUCUUAUUGACUUGGUAACGCAGCUAACGCGUGAAGUAGACCGCCUGGGGAGUACGGUCGCAAGAUUAAAACUCAAAGGAAUUGACGGGGACCCGCACAAGCGGUGGAUGAUGUGGAUUAAUUCGAUGCAACGCGAAAAACCUUACCUACCCUUGACAUGUACAGAAUCCCGAAGAGAUUUGGGAGUGUUCGAAAGAAAACUGUAACACAGGUGCUGCAUGGCUGUCGUCAGCUCGUGUCGUGAGAUGUUGGGUUAAGUCCCGCAACGAGCGCAACCCUUGUCAUUAGUUGCUACGAAAGGGCACUCUAAUGAGACUGCCGGUGACAAACCGGAGGAAGGUGGGGAUGACGUCAAGUCCUCAUGGCCCUUAUGGGUAGGGCUUCACACGUCAUACAAUGGUACAUACAGAGGGCCGCCAACCCGCGAGGGGGAGCUAAUCCCAGAAAGUGUAUCGUAGUCCGGAUUGUAGUCUGCAACUCGACUACAUGAAGUUGGAAUCGCUAGUAAUCGCGGAUCAGCAUGUCGCGGUGAAUACGUUCCCGGGUCUUGCACUCCCCGCCCGUCAAAA